Oenanthe melanoleuca is the source of this 7708-nucleotide long non-coding RNA. RefSeq lists it as uncharacterized. NCBI's taxonomy places the organism in Eukaryota, Metazoa, Chordata, Aves, Passeriformes, Muscicapidae. The transcript has 2 exons. The record is from RefSeq and is a predicted model, not a curated record.
GAGAAGCUGUGGAGUCUCCCUCUGGUGAUAUUCCAGAACCAUCUGGACACACUCCUGUGCCCUGGGAUGACCCUGCUUGAACAGGGAGGUUGGACCAGGGAAAGGCAGGUGAUUGCAAUUGAAAUAGGACGUGGCAAAACCCACCAGAAGAGGUACUGCAGGGAAUACUGAAGAACCUACAUCCCGGAUUGCCCUGUCCCUUGCAGAAUCCAGCACAUGCCCUGGUUGAACUUCAUAUGGUUGGUGAUUGCCCAGCCCUCUGAUUUGUUUGGGUCUCUGCAGGGCCUCUCUUCCUUAGGGGAGUCAGCAACUCCUCCCAAUUUAGUGUCCUUGGUAAACUUGCUUAGUAUCCCUUCCAGUAGUGUAUCCAAGUCAUUUAUGAGGAUGUUGAAGAGCGCAGGGCUGAGGCUGGGGCCCUGUGGAGCCCCACUACUGACAGGACACCAGGCUGGUGUAACCUCAUCCUUCCAGACUUUGUACUGACCCAAUUGCUCACCCAUCCCAUGAUGUGUUUUUCCAGCUGUGUGCUGCACAUUUUGUCCAGAAGGAUCCUGGGAGCGACAGUAUCAAAAGUUUUACUGAAAUCCAAAAGGAUUACAUAACUGGCUCAUUAAUAUUUUAAAUUAGAUCUAUUUAUAGGACUAAUAAAAGCUUUUAUAUUCAGAAAACCUUCAAAGGUAGGUAUUUGCAAAAGUAUGAAGUCAAAGUGUCCUCUGUUUUUAUGGCUUGUUUCUUGCAGCAGAAGCCUGGAAUACUGUGUUAAGGGGCAUUAAAUCUGACAUUGCUGGCAGAGCAUCAACAUUCCAAUAACAAAAGAAGGUCUGGUGGGUCUGUUAAAGCUGGUAUCAGAGAUCCAGGCUGAUAUCCAAGUGCUGAGUCAUUGAGUCAGAAUAGACAUUGCUAUGAAAGAUUCUUAAUUGUUUAAGAACUUUCAACUCUCCUCUGGGAACACGAGGGAAAGGUCUGGUCACUUCACCUAACUUCAGCUAUCUCAAGCAUCCAGUUUGAGGCCAUUGACUGUGAAGAGAGAGAGGAGAAGAGGGCACCUGCAGGGCACAGUUCAUUCCUCCCUCUUUGCAGAUGUUUCAGUAAAGAAGGAACUGCCUGCCAGAGCUCUGUCCCAGGGCUGCCUUUUCUCCCCAAGUGCCCCGACAGCCACCUCACAGAUGCCUGAAGUUAAGGGACAUGAAUUCAGGCCUAACUGGUAGCUAUAACCGAAUGAUGGAAAUAAUGUGGCAGCAUUCCAGGAGGUAUUAGCAAUUCACAUAGUUCCCAGAUUCUUUUUUUAAACCAUCUUUUAUGAUUUAUGGAGGUCAAUUAUAUAAAGCCCAUCAGAACACAAGAAAUGCUUAAAAAUGCUGCAUUAGAGACACAUUAAUAUUAGUCCUCCUGAGGUGGUAAUGGCUGUAGCCUUCCCGGCCCUGCUGCUCUGCCCUGCUGCUUAAUGCAUCCAGUUUUUCUAUUUACAGAUUUACAGAUUCUAUUUUUGGUGUUAACAAAGAAUAUGAGCAUAUGUAUCAAACACUCUUCUCACAUCUAAUUAUAGUACUGCUGGCAAAGUAAUUCUGGAAAGUGCCACUUAAUUAAAUAUAAGCAUUAACUUUUUGCUGAUAGCUUAUCAGAAACAAUUAGACUUGAAAUGUGGGCAAUACACCUAGAGUUUAGAACUUUCAGGAGAAACAUUAAAAGCACAAAAUAACCCAUUUUCAAUGUUUUGCAUUCUCCAGUGUCUUCCUGCUGAGCACAACCUCGGUUUUCAUCAGUACAGUGUGUCUUUAGGUAAUGUAGAGGCUGCAAGUUUAUCUGGACUCUUUUUGUGUGCAAAAGCCUGAGCUAAGUGGAUGCUUUUAGAACUGGUUAAACCACUUUAGUAUAGUUUAUGUUUUUGCCAAUUCCUCCUGAAAUACCAGAUAUAUUCUGCUGAUUAUUCGGGGUCUGCACACAACAACCCAGGAACUACUGGGGACAGUCAGACGAACUCACAGCUUAUGCCAUGUGCUUAUUCUUUGCAAGGACAGCUUGAUCAGCAUUUAUAUUCACUAACUUGAUCAGAGAUAUGCUUUUUUGUCUGUGUGGCAAUGCCAAAUAUUAGUUAAUUCUAUGUAAUUUUUCAUCAAUAGCCAGAUAGAUCUUCCAGAUAAUUAUACCUAAAAUAUCUCUGCAGAACUUUGAGCUCUGCUGCUGUUUGCCUGAAAGUGAAGAGGGGAACAAAGAAAAACAGAGCUGUAAUGAAAAUAAUUAUUCUUAAGUAAAAAUACAAGGGCUAGAAGGAAAUAAUUCCUUCAGGUUUGUUUGACAACACAACAAAACUACAUAGCAACUGAGGGCAGACGCUUCUCCCAGGUCUAACAUUUGGGCAAGCAGCGGUAGCAGGAGGAUCUGAAAUAACACCAUCUGGUGAAUGCCUGCUUCUUUCUUCAGCAGUCAAGAACUAUGUGUAACUAUAAACAAAGAAUAAAAUAGAAAUAAUGCAAAACUACUUUUCAGUUAAAUGUUACACAGAAUGAACAAACAGCUGCUCUGGGAAUGCAGAAAAGAAUGAUGUUAAAUAUAGUAGGAAAUUUGAGCACACUGCUCCUAUAAAUACAUGAACCAAAGAGAAUGUAGGAUUCUGCAGAGCUGUGGACAGGGAAACUUAGUUCCAAACUGGAGAGCAACUAUUCUGGCAAUAAAUGUAGCCACAAUUUAACCAUCACACAAGAAGAACUCAUCUCUUGACAGUGUGAAAUCAAGCUGCAGGACAUCUGUGCCUGCCUUUAUGUCCCAUUUUUUUGUCAGUCAGAAUUCCCAUGUUUCUUUUCUCCUGUUUGACUGUCUGAUAGGCUUUCCUGAACUCUGGGCUACUUGACCUUCAGAAGACAGUCAAAAUACAGGAGUUUGCACAAGAGCUUGCACCUGGGUGUUUGAUACUGUUUGUGGCAGAAGCAAAUAUACAAAUAGGUGAUUCAAUGUUUAGCAUCCUAUCUAUAAACAAUAAUUCAGAGCUCAGUUUUUACCAAGUCCGCUAUUUUGCAUUGAUAAGAGAUUUGCAAAAUCCUUGGAAAGUCAAAGCAGGACUGGAAGUUGAAAAAGCAAAGCCACAAAAUCUUAAAUCCAACCCUUCCUGGUAAAUACCACUGAUUAACAACCACAGGAAUUGGACAAGGAAGAGAGUUACUGCCCCUUAACUCAGUCCCCAGUCACAUCAAAGUCCACAAAAGGUAUUUUGAAGAUGCUGCUGGAUUCACUAACAAGUGAGGCAGAGAGAAAGAUUAUUAAGGUUUUGGAGGCUGUGUCAUGAGGAGAGGCUGAGGAGAAGCUGAAGCAAAUAUGCUGCUAUUUCUAAGCAUCCAAAAAUAAAAUAUGCACAAUAUUAAUAAAUAUUAAAGUAGAACUAAAAGUAUAUUUAGCAUCGAAAAUAAUAAAUAAGCAAAGUGAAGCAGAUAAGUCUAAUUAUCCAAGGAGAUAAAAACUAAAUUGCACCUUCAAAGGGGCUGACAUGUGCUAGAAUUCCAGAAGUAGCUGAACCAGAAAUUUUUGUGUUUGCUGACAGAGUAGCAUUCUUUACUAUAAAUUACAGCUUCUUAGACUUCUAUCCAUGGAGUGUUUCUUUCCAAAGAUUCUGAAGAAGUUUUUACAAAGCAGAGCAAGUGUAUUAUUUGAAAGUCCCCCUGAAGGGUAUGAACCAUCCCAAAGCACCAGAACCACAGGAAUGUUUAGAUUGGAAAAGACCUCGGGGAUGCUUGAGUCCAGCCAUUAACCCAGCACUGCCAAUCCCACCACUGAACCAAGUGCCUCAGUGACACAUCUCUAGGAAUUUAAAAUCCCUUGGGAACUGUGACUCCAUCACUGCCAUGGGUGGCCAAAUUUACUCCACAAAAUAAAAGAGUGUUUCUGCAGAGUUUCAAGAAAACUCAAAUUAUUUUAUUCACAAAAGCAGAAGUCAAUAAAAAUAUAGAUAUCCUGAUCAGUUUUACAGACCAUGUUCAUUUCUUCUCUCAACUGACAGGCAAAAGCAUCAUGUAAAAAAAAAAGGUAACAAGCAUUUACAUCACAAACCAUUAUUAACACAGAUUCAUGUAUAUGAGCAAAUAUUACAGGUCCAUCAAACAUUCCUCUUUUAUUUUUUCUUUUUUUUCUGUACUUUCCACUGCUGUUAAGAAUAUGUGCUAUCUCACUGUUAUUUAACUAAUAGUUUUAGUAGAAACUGUAAUGUAUGAACUCACUGCUCUCAAAGUGUUUUCUCUGAAUUCUAAACCCCUUUAUAGGACUAAACGAGGAUGUUUGUGCUAUAUUACUCAAGUGAUGCCAAAAAAAGAGUCAACAUUGCUACUAAUAGCAUCAGGAAGCUCAUUUUUUAUUACUUUUAUGGAGCACCUCCUCAAAAAAUACCUGAAGAUAUCCUUAUUCAAAUCAAACUGGUCAGCUCAGUGUUUAUGCAUGAAACUGGAAGGAAAUCUUUCCUCUUUUGAAGAUAUAUAAAUGUUCCCUAGAAAUCAGUUUUGUGACAUUUAUACAAGUCUGGCUUUCAGGACCAUGAAGGAAGACAACAGAGAUUAAGGACAAUUACUCCUGGUUUUGUUUGCUGUGAUUCUUUUUUUUUAAUUCACCUAUAGAUUAUAUAGAUUUGAUACGACUGAAGCCCCAUCUGGAAAAACUCUCACUGAAAUAAAGAGACCAAGUGCUAAUUUUAUUUCUUUAUUCCACUUUUAAUGCCUUUGAACUUUGUAGAGAUGAAAAAUUUGUGAACUCUUCCACCAUACAGACCUUGACAAAAACGUUUGUAGAACAGGUUACAAAAUUACAAACCCAAACUUACUUGAAAACAAAAACCAAUCAGAAAAUGCUUGCUUUUUCAAAAAGCAAGUACUGAACUAGGAGGAAGAAACACUGUAGUAUAGAAACUUACUUUAAGGAUGGGUUGUGUUGUACAGAAACCAACCCCAAAUUAUUACUGCUAUAAUUCUGAUGAUCAAAUCUACAAUAAUAUUUCAGGUUGCUUGCAUGCAGAUUGCUCCUGCCUCUGCCUACCUAAACUUUGGGAGCAUUACCACUGGGGGACAAUCCACUUUUCUUUUAAAAUCCAGAAAAUCCAGUUUCAUAUAGAAACAAUUCUUGCUACAUAAGUGCUACAAGAGAUCAUUUUGACCCCCCUGCCCCUCAGGACAUGACUGUUACCUCUCACACCUUUAGCUCCUCUUCCUUAAAAUAUCCAGCAACAGAGCAUUGAAAAGCAGGAGCCCCUGCUUCAUCCUCUCUGCAAGCAGCUGGCAGAGCUGGAAGCACUGGAAGCACUGGUUGCCAAAGGAAAGCCCCACUCUCCUCUCACUGCAGCCUGGAUUCUGAAGGUGUUGAAGCUGCACAGACUCCAACCUGUGCACAGUGAAAUUGGAGCUACAACUGCUCUGAUGCUCUGCCUGUGCCAGAGUCACUCCAUGCACAGGAUACACAGACAGCACCAAGUGCUGCAGAACGAAGAAAUAAAUCAUCAGAGUAUUGUCAGCAAACUCAAGUCUUCUCCUGAAAGUCCUGCUGCUCUGGGAUUCCUGCAAUUCAACUCUGUGCAAGUCACACUUCCCCCGGCCUACCCUCCCUGUGGCACCCGCUGCUUUCCUGGCCACAGACAGCAAUAGUGGGCACUGGCUCCUUUUCAAAAGCACAAAGUGGACGUCACCAGUCACCAGUACUUGGCAUGACUCCAACACAAUCUUCAAAAUACAAAUAUUUAAUAGAAAAAUUUAAUUUAAUUUUACAAAAUACAGAUACAACACUACCCAAUGUAGCAAAAUAAUGGAAUUGAAAAAUAAUUUCAAAAUAUUUAAAGCAUUAGGUUCUAAAAUAAAUAAUGCUAUCUAAAAGAAGUGUUCAGGUUUUGCAACUAGGAGGCAGUUUCACUAUUACUGAUCUCUUUUUCAACUUCUUUACAAGUUUCAUAAUUUAUGUAGAAAAAUAUACAAGAAAAGAAUUUGGGAUAAAGAACAGGUUGAGUAUGUAACAUUUAACAUAAAUAAAAAGCCUAAAGCAAACCAAAAAGAAAACCAAUCAUUUUAUUUCUGUACAUCAAGACUACAAAUAGUAUUUUAACACUUCAUUUAUUACCCAAAUUAAGAAAUUAUACAUUUUUAUAUGGUUACUAGUAAACAUCUUAAAACCACUCAGUUUCCCCACAUUUAAAAGGAUAUUGCUGGUUACUGCUUAUUAAAUAGGAAAUCCAGCAGAGUUUCCAGUAACAGCAAAAUAUUUUUUUUUUUGCAUAAGAGAUGAAUACAAAUUUGAUUGUAAUUUUUGAUGAUUUAAAAUAUAGGAGUUCAGAGGGAUGGACUGAUUAAUCUUAUAGUCCGAACUGUAAUUCCUUUUCUAAACUCACUGCAGUUUGCAAAUGAAACCCUACGAUGUGCCUACUACGAGAGGAUCAGCUCCUUCCAUACAAGAGCCAUUUUUUCCGCAGAUAUCAAAUUAUAUUCAGCAGCAUAUUCCCACUUACUUUUCUCAGCAGAAAUACUGUAGGGGAAUGGAUACAAAAGCUGUUUAAUCACAAAAAAAAAGUUAAUUUUAUUAGUGUCUACGACACAGAUAUGGCAUUUAAGAUGGAAAGAAAUGACAGGGAAAAGGAAUGUGAACACCACAGGCUUCAAAUAUAAAAGAUAAAGCCUGAUAACUUUGGUUCAAAGAACUUUAAUAAUUAUUACAUGUAUAUUUUUCCAAUGUGGUGAUUUCUCUAUGUACUGUGUAUGCAAUAGGAGAUUGACUCAUUUAAAACCAACCAACCAACCAAUCAACAAACCUGUAUAGGCACAAAAGACAGAAACAGAACAGAGAAAACCUGGAAAGUCACAUCCAUUCAGAACAGUGUCCAAGUGAUAAUGAGUCAGCAAAGGUUGAACUUAAAAUAAUGCAAAUCCAUUUUCUUCCAAGUGUUUCAGAAUGCACAAAUGGAAUAUUACACCCAUUUUAUCUCAGUGCCUACCAUCUUGAGGGAAGGUAGUAUGAAACAAAAUCAGUUCUGCAACAACUAUCAUAGAAUCAUGGACUAUGCUGAGUUGGAAGGGGCCAAUCAGGAUCAUCCAGUCCAACUCCUGGUCCUGCACAGGACACCCCGAGAGUCACAAGUAUCUGAGAGCAUUGUUCAAACACUUCUUGAACUCUGGCAGACUUGGGGCUGUGACACUGCCCUGGGGAACCUGUUCAGUGCCCAAUCACCCUCUGGGUGAGAAACCAUUUUGUGAUACCCAACCUGAAUCUUUCCCAAUCCAGUUCCAUGCUGUUUCCUCGGGUCCCGUCACUGGUCACCACAGAGGAGAGAUCAGUGCCUGCCUCUCCUCUCCCCCUCACAAGGAAGUUGUAACUGCAACGAGGUCUCCCCUCAGUCUCCUCCAGGCUAAACAGACCAAGUGACCUCAGCCACUCCUCACACAGCUUCCCCUUCAGGCCCUUCACCACCCUCAUGGCCUCCUCUGGAUGCUCUCUAAAGGCUCAAUGUCUUCUUUAUAUUGUGCCAUCCAAAACUGCCCCAGCCCAGAGCAGAGCGGGACAGUCCCCUCCCUUGCCUGGCUGGUGAUGCUGUGCCUAAUGCCCCCAGGACAGGCCUGUCCCUCCUGGCUUGUGUUCAACUUGCCAUAAAUAAACCAGCACCCCCAGGUCCCUUUUCACAACUGCUCUCCAGCCUCUCAUUCUCCAGUCUGUCCACACAGCCAGGGCCCUGUCCCAGGUACAGAAUCCAGCACUUGCC